Molecule: long non-coding RNA, 1936 nt
Organism: Acanthaster planci (crown-of-thorns starfish)
Lineage: Eukaryota; Metazoa; Echinodermata; Asteroidea; Valvatida; Acanthasteridae
Source: RefSeq, a predicted model, not a curated record
AAAUUCCAAAAGUCCUGUAGCGUACUAUGUGCAACAUUGUCUACUUGGUGUCUCACACAUUCUACCUAAAGGUUUUCUAUUCAGCGUCGAGUGUGAGGUAACCGCUGGAACGCAAGCUGAUAGAUUACAGUUACAGUAAAGAAAGUCCAAGAAUAUUGAAAAAACUACAUAAUUAUAUACAUUACACACAAUGCCUGAGACGUCCAUACAGACGGACUGUGUGCUGAACUUGGACUUGGCCCUUAAUCAGGCCUGUUGCUGAAUAGCCCUGUGGGUACCCUCAUAAUGUUGAAAACUCAAUGAGGUUAUGAUAAAGGCAGUUGUAAGAAUAGCCUGCCACUCACCCCAAUUUGUAGCUGGAUGAAUGUACAGAAGCUAAAUACAUGACUAACCAAUGUAUGGUACAGUGUACAUGCACAUUGGACCAAGUUGUUCAUCAACACAAUCAGGCUUUUGUGGAUUUAUACCGGUACUUCGGGAAGCGCUUUUUCAAAGGGAAAUAAAAUCUGAUAUCAAUUCAUUACCGAAUGGUCUUGCCCCUUCAGGUUUUUUUCUGUGACUCAUUUUAUGUAGACUGGUCUAGUAUUAACCUUUUCGACUCUCACACUGAAUUUAUGGUGAAGCUAGUUUAUGUACAUACAUGCACAUGUACAUGGUAUUAGGCCUAACUCCCCAAUCCACGUACAUGUAUAUGUACAUGUAUACACACUUGUAGCUAUCCAGGGAACCUUCAUUGGACUUUCAAUUUUUUAAUCCUCCCUGCUGAUUUUACACUGGAUAGGAAUUUAUAUUGCAGUAUUAUAGCCAUUCAGGGUUAUUAACAUGUAGGCCUACAGUGUACGUGGACCUUACAAAAAUCCAAUUACUCCCAGAAAUAUUGUGAGAUAUUUACCCUCACGGUGGUUAGCCGUCAGAAAGUGAUAACAUUUCCAACCAACAUGUCAAGUCGAAUUUAGCAAGGAAAAUGUUGAAAAAAAAAAUGAAAAAAAAUUACCACUACUGGCUACCACUGCUAAAUUUGUUGGUAACCAUGUUUGGCAUCGGUCAAUGAUCAGGAGUUAAUUGCUGUUGUAAACGAAUGGCCCAAAUCGAAACCAAAAUUGCACAGACUUCUACAAACUGGAAAUCGGCCAAAGUAAUACAUCGGUGGUUUGAUGGGGUGAGUGAUCCAUACACGCAAAAGGGAUUUCAUAGAAAGCAUUUUUGAAGAGUCUCCACUUUUUUGAUUGACUGUUGUGGGGCUAAGGAUACAGAGGGAUUCCAGUAGACUGGCCCAAGUCUGGGGCUAGCGUAGUCUAUUUAAUCACUGCAAAGGUAAUGAGGAAUUUGCCAGGACUGGUUAGUACACAGAGAAAUGUUUUAUUCCUCCAUGGUUAGCAGUCCGAGUAACUUGGACCCUACAAAUCGCUUUUUUUAAACAUUGGGACAUGGUCUGGCAAUAAUAUCACCCGAUUGAUAUGUCUAAAUAAUUAUCACCCGACCAUGUCCAAACAUUUAGGGCCAAUUGCCCCAUCAUGCUCAUGUCAACUGCAUGUCCAAAUGUUUAAAAAGGCAAUUUGUAGUGUCCACGUUACUCGGACUACAUGUACGUGGUUAGUGCCAUAGUGGUAGUCAGUGGUAGUACUGGUACUAUAUGAACUAUUGUUCCCCAUGUUCAUAAUGUUGCAUCCAUCCCCUGAUCACAUUGCAAGCAUUGGCACAUUUUCUUGCCCAUAGGACUGGGGUGAAGUUAGGGGCCCUAGCCCUACUCUACAUGUAUACCAUGACUCUUUCCUCUAAUCCCCUCUAUACUUGCCAUGGCCUCAACAGUCACACAGCCACGCCAUGAUUUAGGAUAACAUCUGACCAUCAGGAUACAUAAUUGUAAUGUAACUUCUGUAAGUGAAUGGGGUUGAAAUAAGCCGUCUGCCUACUGUGCUCGCGUCAUUUGCGUGUU